CUAAUAGCGUAUAUUAAAGUUGUUGCAGUUAAAAAGCUCGUAGUUGAAUUUCGGGAUCAAUAUAUCGGUCGUGCCUUCGGUAUGCACUGGUAUUAUUGAUUUCUACCUUCUGACGAACCAUGAUGUCAUUAAUUUGGUGUCAUGGGAAAUCAGGACUGUUACUUUGAAAAAAUUAGAGUGUUUAAAGCAGGUACACGCUUGAAUACAUUAGCAGGGAAUAAUGAAAUAGGACGUUUGACCCUAUUUUGUUGGUUUCUAGGAUCGACGUAAUGAUUAAUAGGGAUAGUUGGGGGCAUUAGUAUUCAAUUGUCAGAGGUGAAAUUCUUGGAUUUAUUGAAGACUAACUACUGCGAAAGCAUUUGCCAAGGAUGUUUUCAUUAAUCAAGAACGAAAGUUAGGGGAUCGAAGACGAUCAGAUACCGUCGUAGUCUUAACCAUAAACUAUGCCGACUAGGGAUCGGAUGAUGUUAAUUUUUUAAUGACUCAUUCGGCGCCUUACG
Molecule: ribosomal RNA, 500 nt
Filed under: uncultured Glomeromycotina
Lineage: Eukaryota; Fungi; Glomeromycota
Description: partial small subunit ribosomal RNA
Rfam family: Eukaryotic small subunit ribosomal RNA
Source: RNAcentral